UCGAGAAUCUUCGGCAAUGGGCGCAAGCCUGACCGAGCGACGCCGCGUGCGGGAUGAAGGCCCUUGGGUUGUAAACCGCUGUCAGAGGGGAUGAAAUGUAUGUGGGUACUCCCAUGUAUUUGACAUAGCCUCAGAGGAAGCACGGGCUAAGUUCGUGCCAGCAGCCGCGGUAAUACGAACUGUGCAAACGUUAUUCGGAAUCACUGGGCUUAAAGGGUGCGUAGGCGGCUCAUUAAGUAGGGUGUGAAAGCCCCCGGCUCAACCGGGGAAUUGCGCUCUAAACUGAUGGGCUGGAGUGAGAUAGGGGUGUGUGGAACUUCCGGUGGAGCGGUGAAAUGUGUUGAUAUCGGAAGGAACGCCGGUGGCGAAAGCGACACACUGGGUCUCAACUGACGCUGAGGCACGAAAGCCAGGGGAGCAAACG
RNAcentral lists this ribosomal RNA (424 nucleotides) under uncultured bacterium. RNAcentral's name for it is "bacterial SSU rRNA". It matches the Rfam family "Bacterial small subunit ribosomal RNA", at positions 355 to 774 of the family's 1533-position model. The record is from RNAcentral.